RNAcentral lists this ribosomal RNA (496 nucleotides) under uncultured bacterium. Its description in RNAcentral is "partial 16S ribosomal RNA". It matches the Rfam family "Bacterial small subunit ribosomal RNA", at positions 28 to 506 of the family's 1533-position model. The record is from RNAcentral.
GAUGAACGCUGGCGGCGUGCCUAAUACAUGCAAGUCGAGCGAACAGAUGAGGAGCUUGCUCCUCUGACGUUAGCGGCGGACGGGUGAGUAACACGUGGAUAACCUACCUAUAAGACUGGGAUAACUUCGGGAAACCGGAGCUAAUACCGGAUAAUAUAUUGAACCGCAUGGUUCAAUAGUGAAAGACGGUUUUGCUGUCACUUAUAGAUGGAUCCGCGCCGCAUUAGCUAGUUGGUAAGGUAACGGCUUACCAAGGCAACGAUGCGUAGCCGACCUGAGAGGGGGAACGGCCACAGUGGAAGGGAAAAACGGUCCAGACCCGCACGGGAGGCAGCAGUAGGGAAGCGUCGGAAAGGGGCGAAAGCCUGACGGAGCAACGGCGGGUGGGUGAAGAAGUGUUUCGGACGGUAAAACUCGGUUAGGAGGGAAAAACAAAUGUGUAAGGAACGAAGCAUGUCUUGACGGAACCGAUAAAGAAAGCCAGGGCAAACCAGGG